RNAcentral lists this ribosomal RNA (1851 nucleotides) under human gut metagenome. RNAcentral's name for it is "bacterial LSU rRNA". It matches the Rfam family "Bacterial large subunit ribosomal RNA", at positions 1104 to 2925 of the family's 2925-position model. The record is from RNAcentral.
GCUUAGAAGCAGCCACUCAUUAAAAGAGUGCGUAAUAGCUCACUGGUCGAGUGACCCUGCGCCGAAAAUUUAACGGGGCUAAAUCAUACACCGAAGCUUGGGAUUGACAGAUAUUCUUCAUGUUUUCAGGCAGGAUAGGAAAGAGAGAAAAUCUGAUGACGCCGAAGAAUGAGGCGGCAUUAAAUUUCUGUUCAAGUAAAAGCAUGAAGAUGUGAAGAAUAUCUGUCGAUGGUAGGAGAGCGUUCUAUGUGGGGAGAAGUCUGAGCGGAAGCGCAGGUGGACUGCAUAGAAGUGAGAAUGCCGGAAUGAGUAGCGCGAAAUAUGUGAGAAUCAUAUUGGCCGAAAGUCUAAGGUUUUUGGAGGAAGGUUCGUCCGCUCCAAGUAAGUCGGGAGCUAAGGCGAGGCCGAAAGGCGUAGUCGAUGCACAUACGGUAGAUAUUCCGUAACCGCCGAAGGAUUAAAGCAAAGGGACACCUGCGAAGCGUGUAACCCGGGCGAUGGUUGCCCCGGGCGUAAGGGACCGAAAUUUAGUAGGGAAGUACAUGUGAAUUAGGGCGAGAAAAGCUUUGUGUAUAUCCAAGGCGCCCGUACCGCAAACCGACACAGGUAGAUAGGAAGAGAAUUCUAAGGCCAACGGGAGAAGGGUAGUUAAGGAACUCGGCAAAUUGGUCCCGUAACUUAGGGAAAAGGGACGCUCCAGAGAUGGAGCCGCAGUGAAUAGGCCCAGGCGACUGUUUAGCAAAAACACAGGUCUCUGCCAAAUCGAAAGAUGAAGUAUAGGGGCUGACACCUGCCCGGUGCUGGAAGGUUAAGAGGAGAUGUGCAAGCAUUGAAUUGAAGCCCCAGUAAACGGCGGCCGUAACUAUAACGGUCCUAAGGUAGCGAAAUUCCUUGUCGGGUAAGUUCCGACCCGCACGAAUGGUGUAACGAUCUGGGCACUGUCUCAACUACCCGCCCGGCGAAAUUGUAGUACCGGUGAAGAUGCCGGUUACCCGCGACAAGACGGAAAGACCCCAUGGAGCUUUACUGUAGCUUGAUAUUGGGUUUCGGUAAUUUAUGUACAGGAUAGGCGGGAGACUAGGAAGCCAGUACGCCAGUAUUGGUGGAGUCGUCCUUGGGAUACCGCUCUUAAGUUGCUGGAAUUCUAACCUGCGGCCGUGAAUCCGGCCGGGGGACAUUGUCAGGUGGGCAGUUUGACUGGGGCGGUCGCCUCCAAAAGAGUAACGGAGGCGCUCAAAGGUUCGCUCAGCACGGACGGAAACCGUGCUUUUGAGUGUAAACGCAGAAGCGAGCCUGACUGCGAGGGUGACGGCCCGAGCAGAAACGAAAGUUGGAGUUAGUGAUCCGGCGGUAUGUGAAUGGAAAUGCCGUCGCUCAACGGAUAAAAGCUACCCUGGGGAUAACAGGCUGAUCUCCCCCAAGAGUCCACAUCGACGGGGAGGUUUGGCACCUCGAUGUCGGCUCAUCGCAUCCUGGGGCUGAAGUAGGUCCCAAGGGUUGGGCUGUUCGCCCAUUAAAGCGGUACGCGAGCUGGGUUCAGAACGUCGUGAGACAGUUCGGUCCCUAUCUGUCGUGGGCGCAGGAUAUUUGAGGAGCUCUGUCCUUAGUACGAGAGGACCGGGAUGGACGCACCGCUGGUGCACCAGUUGUCACGCCAGUGGCACAGCUGGGCAGCUAAGUGCGGAUCGGAUAAACGCUGAAAGCAUCUAAGCGUGAAGCCGGCUCCAAGAUAAGAUAUCCCAUUCCGUAAGGAAGUAAGACCCCUUGAAGACUACAAGGUUGAUAGGCUGCGUGUGUAAGCGCCGCGAGGCGUUCAGCUUGGCAGUACUAAUAGGUCGAGGGCUUGACCUU